This 238-nucleotide long non-coding RNA is filed under the name Anas platyrhynchos platyrhynchos (common mallard). RNAcentral's name for it is "lncRNA (ENSAPLG00000025989.1)". The record is from RNAcentral. Lineage: Eukaryota; Metazoa; Chordata; Aves; Anseriformes; Anatidae.
GUUUACUUAGUGGACCCAAGACAUUUCACUGUCUCAGGCUGGGCCACGCUGUUUAACGGACUGAGGAGAGGAAAGGAUGGAACAGGACCAAGAAGGAGAAGUCAGGAAGGCAGAGAGGAUGUUACACAACUAAAGCAAGAACUCAUAUCCUGCUUCAAAACCUGCUGCUGUCAUCAGUCUAUCCAAUGCUUUGAGAAGCCCAGAGGUUAGAUGUAGUCAAAAAGAAAGAAACAAAACA